GUAACGGCGAGUGAAGCGGUAACAGCUCAAAUUUGAAAUCUGGCUCUUUCAGGGUCCGAGUUGUAAUUUGUAGAAGAUGCUUCGGGUGUAGCUCCGGUCUAAGUUCCUUGGAACAGGACGUCAUAGAGGGUGAGAAUCCCGUAUGUGACUGGUUGCUUUCGCCCAUGUGAAGCUCUUUCGACGAGUCGAGUUGUUUGGGAAUGCAGCUCUAAAUGGGUGGUAAAUUUCAUCUAAAGCUAAAUAUUGGCCAGAGACCGAUAGCGCACAAGUAGAGUGAUCGAAAGAUGAAAAGCACUUUGGAAAGAGAGUUAAACAGUACGUGAAAUUGUUGAAAGGGAAGCGCUUGCAACCAGACUUGCACCCCGUCGAUCAUCCCCCGUUCUCGGAGGUGCACUCGGCGGGGUUCAGGCCAGCAUCGGUUUCGGUGGUGGGAUAAAGGCCUUGGGAACGUAGCUCCUCUCGGGGAGUGUUAUAGCCCUCGGUGCAAUGCCGCCUACCGGGACCGAGGACCGCGCUUCGGCUAGGAUGCUGGCGUAAUGGUUG
Molecule: ribosomal RNA, 543 nt
Filed under: Cyathicula coronata
Lineage: Eukaryota; Fungi; Ascomycota; Leotiomycetes; Helotiales; Helotiaceae
Description: eukaryotic LSU rRNA
Rfam family: Eukaryotic large subunit ribosomal RNA
Source: RNAcentral